This 489-nucleotide ribosomal RNA is filed under the name uncultured bacterium. RNAcentral describes it as "partial 16S ribosomal RNA". It matches the Rfam family "Bacterial small subunit ribosomal RNA", at positions 28 to 523 of the family's 1533-position model. The record is from RNAcentral.
GAUGAACGCUGGCGGCGUGGAUAGGGCAUGCAAGUCGAGCGAGAAAAGGGGAGCAAUCCCCUGAGUACAGCGGCGCACGGGUGAGUAACACGUGGGUAAUCUGCCCUGGAGUGGGGAAUAACACCGGGAAACCGGUGCUAAUACCGCAUACGAUCACAGAGUCUGCGGAUUUUGUGAUGAAAGGAGCAAUUCGCUCUAAGAGGAGCCCGCGGCUGAUUAGCUAGUUGGUGAGGUAAUGGCUCACCAAGGCAACGAUCAGUAUCCGGUCUGAGAGGACGGUCGGACACACUGGAACUGAGACACGGUCCAGACUCCUACGGGAGGCAGCAGUGGGGAAUUUUUGGCAAUGGGGGCAACCCUGACCAAGCAACGCCGCGUGGGUGAUGAAGUCUCUUGGGACGUAAAUCCCUUUCGACGGGGACGAAACCGCAAGGUUGACGGUACCCGUAGAAGAAGCCCCGGCUAACUCCGUGCCAGCAGCCGCCGUAA